AACUCAUUCAACUAUAAAACUUCCAAAAUCUUCCUUUCCUCUUUUAUUGAACAGCAUGGCUUUUUUUCAUAAAAACAUAACAUGAGCAAAACAGCAAUCGAGAAAAUGAUACCUUAGCUAGAGGAUUUGUUUAGACUGAAAAACAAAAACAAAAAGAAGAUGAUGAUGAAUUCAAUUGGCGAACGGAAGACACUUAAAAUCCUUUCGAGUUAAAAUCAACAGGGAAAAAGAAAUGAGGAAGCGUCAUAUACAACAGCCUUAUCAUUGUCAUCCAUAAAUUCUAUUUGCACACAAACAAUCACUAAAUUUAAGCUUCUAUAUCGUUUAACUCGUAAAAUAACCACUAUUCGUAUGUAUGCAUGCACGCAUAUAUCAUAAAGUCAACGUAGCAAUUCGUGGUACGGACAACAACUUUUCCCGCGCAUUAUCCGAUCCCAUUCAAUAUAAAGAUGUAUGUGGGGAAGUACACAUUGAGUCCAAGGGAUAUUUGGGCAAAAGGUAAAUCGCAUCGGAAAGUCGAAAGCGAAGGGAAAACAAAUAUUUGUAUCUCUGAAAUAAGCCGAAGAUUUGAUUGAUC
Schizosaccharomyces pombe (fission yeast) is the source of this 577-nucleotide non-coding RNA. NCBI's taxonomy places the organism in Eukaryota, Fungi, Ascomycota, Schizosaccharomycetes, Schizosaccharomycetales, Schizosaccharomycetaceae. The record is from the annotation of a GenBank genome assembly.